UGCCCUAGAGUGGGGGACAACAGUUGGAAACGACUGCUAAUACCGCAUAAGCCCACGGUACCGCAUGGUACUGAGGGAAAAGGAUUUAUUCGCUUUAGGAUGGACUCGCGUCCAAUUAGCUAGUUGGUGAGGUAACGGCCCACCAAGGCGACGAUUGGUAGCCGGACUGAGAGGUUGAACGGCCACAUUGGGACUGAGACACGGCCCAGACUCCUACGGGAGGCAGCAGUGGGGGAUAUUGCACAAUGGGGGGAACCCUGAUGCAGCGACGCCGCGUGGAGGAAGAAGGUUUUCGGAUUGUAAACUCCUGUCGUUAGGGACGAUAAUGACGGUACCUAACAAGAAAGCACCGGCUAACUACGUGCCAGCAGCCGCGGUAAAACGUAGGGUGCAAGCGUUGUCCGGAAUUACUGGGUGUAAAGGGAGCGCAGGCGGGAAGACAAGUUGGAAGUGAAAACCAUGGGCUCAACCCAUGAAUUGCUUUCAAAACUGUUUUUCUUGAGUAGUGCAGAGGUAGAUGGAAUUCCCGGUGUAGCGGUGGAAUGCGUAGAUAUCGGGAGGAACACCAGUGGCGAAGGCGGUCUACUGGGCGCCAACUGACGCUGAGGCUCGAAAGCGUGGGUAGCAAACAGGAUUAGAUACCCUGGUAGUCCAUGCCGUAAACGAUGAUUACUAGGUGUUGGGGGAUUGACCCCCUCAGUGCCGCAG
This 708-nucleotide ribosomal RNA is filed under the name uncultured bacterium. RNAcentral's name for it is "bacterial SSU rRNA". It matches the Rfam family "Bacterial small subunit ribosomal RNA", at positions 127 to 851 of the family's 1533-position model. The record is from RNAcentral.